AAAAACAUGGCUUUUUGAUAAUAAUUUAAAGUCAGGCCUGCCCUAUGAAUUUUAAAUGGCUGCAGUAUCUUAACUGUGCAAAGGUAGCAUAAUCAUUAGUUUUUUAAUUGGAAGCUUGUAUGAAAGGUUCAAUGAGAAAAUAGCUGUCUCUAUAAAAAUUUAUUAGAAUUUUAUUUUUAAGUAAAAAAGCUUAAAUUAUAAUAAAAGACGAGAAGACCCUAUAGAGUUUCAUAAUUAUUUAAAAUAAAUAUUAUUUAGUAUUUUAAAUUUUUAUUUUAUUAUAUUAUUUAGUUGGGGCGAUUGGAAAAUUAAAUAAACUUUUCUUUAUAAAUACAUUAAUUUAUGAUUUUAUGAUCCUUUAUUUAAAGAUUAAAAGAUAAAAUUACCUUAGGGAUAACAGCGUAAUUUUUUUUGAGAGUUCUAAUCGAAAAAAAAGAUUGCGACCUCGAUGUUGGAUUAAAAUAUAUUUUUGGUGUAGAAGCUAAAAUAGUUAGGUCUGUUCGACCUUUAAAAUUUUACUUGAUCUGAGUU
Molecule: ribosomal RNA, 531 nt
Filed under: Trichosirocalus troglodytes
Lineage: Eukaryota; Metazoa; Arthropoda; Insecta; Coleoptera; Curculionidae
Description: partial 16S ribosomal RNA
Rfam family: Bacterial large subunit ribosomal RNA
Source: RNAcentral